ACAACAGACAAUGCAAACAAAAAGCAAAUGAACAAAAGAAACUUGAAAGGAAAGAAGUGGUGAUAAAGUCUAAGGACGGGGAAAUGUGCUAUGAAGCAAGAAGCGAAGGAUUCCAGUGAAACGUAGAGGGCCCUUGUCACCUGCCACAUAUGAAAGAGCUCAAAGAUCAGCUGCUUGGAGAAGAAUGGGAGGAAGACAUGGAGACAGAAGAAGAAUGAUAAGAAGGAAGAAGAAAAGGUGGCAGAGAGAGAAAAAGAAGACAGAGGAAGGGUUAGUAAGUCCUUAAACAUGUCAGAUGAAAUACAAGAGAAAAAUCCCUGAUUAAAACCUUCCUCUGGAAGAAGAAAAGGCUUAUGUAACCUUUUUGGAGGAUAUGCCAAACAAAUGUGGCACAUUGACAGCAUAUUAUAAAUAAUACUGAUUUUAAAAUUGUUUUUAUAAAGACAAACAGAACACUGAAUUUCCUGUUGGCAAUACUCAAACCAUUAAUAAUUUUGAUUUCAGGUUAAUACAUUUUUGGGGGGAGAAUAGAGGACUUCAGAGGGCAUUUAGAAUCAUUAGAAGCUGGUGUAUUACCACUGACAUUAACAAUCUUUGGGAAAACUCAUGAUGUCACUUGCUUUGAACAAUAUGAGGACCAGCUGUAAGUGGUACAGAAUGAAGACUAAUGACUAACUGUUCACAUGCAAAACUCAAGACUUGUGGGAGAGGACUUCUUAGGCAGCACCAGGCUGUUAGGCCAAAUUAUUAGCUCAUUUCAAUUGAAAAUGUGAAAAGACAUUACACUUUGCAAGAUGGUACUGAAGACAGCCAAGACUUUUAGCUGAAAGAAUCUCAUUCAGAGCAUCCCCAUGGUGCCAGGCUUUCAACUG
RNAcentral lists this long non-coding RNA (872 nucleotides) under Homo sapiens (human). Its description in RNAcentral is "HSALNT0055653". The record is from RNAcentral. Lineage: Eukaryota; Metazoa; Chordata; Mammalia; Primates; Hominidae.